UCCUCUCCGGAGUUUGUCCGGGUUUGAACGGACGUUUUGUGCUACUUCCAUGGAAACUGCCAAAAGUGCCCCUCGGGAACGCGAGGCUGAGCCGGAGGGGAAGCACAGGCGGCUCCUGGCGCGUGCGCUGAUCCCAGCCUGGGGCAGGACGCGCCAUCUGCCCUCCCCAGGUCCCAGUCCCUUCUCCAGCCUGUCCCAGUCCCUCUGAAUGGUCCCGUCCUCGCCAGCACCGACUGCUCUUCCCAGUCCCGGUGUCCCAUCAGCCGGGUGGCCAGUAAGGACAGUAUUGAUCCUGAGGGAUGGCACUGCUCCCUGGGUGCCAGCUGGACUUUGUGCCCUGGCCACAGUCCGGCAGCCUGGCCAGUUCUCCUGCUCGUUCCCAAUCCGCUCCCUAGCUCACUGGUUUGGCCACGAGGAUCCGAUGGAAGCUGUGCUAAAAGCCUUGCUGAAGCCAAGCCUGGACCCGGCGCGGACGGAAAGCUCCCUCCAGAGGGUCACUCCACGCCAUAACCUUUGUGGGCUCCCUGGAGGAAACUGAUGUGCUAUUCCCUGGAAGUGAUCGAGCUCCAGCUGAGCUUCCAUCUUCCUCGCUUCUCUCGACGUGACCCAACAAGAUCCUUGCACUCUUCCUGAGUUCCCUGCCCCAUCUUCCAAGGUCAUAAAUGCUUUUUUCCCCCCUUUAAUUCCAGUGAAAGCUCCUCAUUCAGCCAGGCCAGUCUUCUGCCCUGCUGGCUCAAUUUUUGGCACGUCCUGUGCCUUUGA
This is a long non-coding RNA of Corvus hawaiiensis (hawaiian crow), 762 nucleotides long. RefSeq lists it as uncharacterized. The record is from RefSeq and is a predicted model, not a curated record. The transcript has 3 exons. NCBI's taxonomy places the organism in Eukaryota, Metazoa, Chordata, Aves, Passeriformes, Corvidae.